RNAcentral lists this transfer RNA (77 nucleotides) under Sutterella sp. CAG:397. RNAcentral's name for it is "transfer RNA-Asp(GTC)". It matches the Rfam family "tRNA". Rfam says of the family: Transfer RNA (tRNA) molecules are approximately 80 nucleotides in length. Their secondary structure includes four short double-helical elements and three loops (D, anti-codon, and T loops). Further hydrogen bonds mediate the characteristic L-shaped molecular structure. tRNAs have two regions of fundamental functional importance: the anti-codon, which is responsible for specific mRNA codon recognition, and the 3' end, to which the tRNAs corresponding amino acid is attached (by aminoacyl-tRNA synthetases). tRNAs cope with the degeneracy of the genetic code in two manners: having more than one tRNA (with a specific anti-codon) for a particular amino acid; and 'wobble' base-pairing, i.e. permitting non-standard base-pairing at the 3rd anti-codon position. The record is from RNAcentral. RNAcentral also lists the same sequence under 5 other names. Lineage: Bacteria; Pseudomonadati; Pseudomonadota; Betaproteobacteria; Burkholderiales; Sutterellaceae.
GGAGUGGUAGUUCAGUUGGUUAGAAUAUCGGCCUGUCACGUCGAGGGUCGCGGGUUCGAGUCCCGUCCACUCCGCCA